GAAUAAAGAAAAUGUUUCGUUAGGACAAGAGCCCCCUGAUAUUAACCCUUUGACCCUUUCUAGGAAUGCUCAUCAUGCUUCAUUUGCCCAGUGUUGUGUGACACAAUUUGCACAGCAGGUGGCCUUGUUGAUGAGCUAACUGGGAGCCUCUACCAGACUGUGGCCUCUCUGCUCUGAGCGUCCCGUAGACUGCGCCCUUUGGAGCCCCCCUGUGGCCGCGUGAGGUACUGCGCGGUGAAAUAGCGCCGUCACGCGCAACACACGCGCGCUCCCGCAAGGGCCCGUCAUGGAUGUGACGUCUGACAGAAACGCACAAAAGGUUAGGUUAGGUCAGGUUUUAACUCGUGUUUAGAUUUUUAACGUAUCUUGUAACAGGAGCGGAAAAGUCUAUUCGCUUUUCCUUUAUUUAAUUAUAAUAACUGGCCAAGGCCAUUUGUAAUUUGUUAAGAUUCUUUUUUUUUUGUUUUUCGUGUAACUCAGCCCACUGAUUCUUUUAAAGAUUUAACACAAUAACACUUUGUUCAAUGUCCCCAAAUCUCAUCUGGUGAUGCUGCAGCCAACAUAAGAUCAGGUUAUCUCUGUCAUGAAUUCGCUUCCAACGAACUGCUUUUGCUAAGUUUACUUUUAGUUUUCUAUUUCACAUUGCUUACUGACUUCUACAGUAAUACUAUAUUUAUUUGUGUGCAUUUGCUCAUGAUUGGAGUUCAUUAAACAGCAGUUGAAAUAACAAUGAUUUGGUAAAUAUUCCAGUAGAACAUGACAGUUUUAACUGUGCAUAUAAAGUUUUACGCUUCACUCUGGGAUUUACAUUUCGUAAAGUCAGAAUAACUCAUGAUAAUAUCAUUAUAAAAUGGGGUUUAGACUCGUAGUCCCUAGUAUGAAUACUUACUAUGAAUACAUUUUAGAAUAGUAAAAUGAAGUAACAUGUAUCACUGUUUCUUGAAUAAAUCAUUUCUGUUCC
Long non-coding RNA from Gasterosteus aculeatus aculeatus (three-spined stickleback), 961 nucleotides. The record is from Ensembl. NCBI's taxonomy places the organism in Eukaryota, Metazoa, Chordata, Actinopteri, Perciformes, Gasterosteidae.